AAGUCACAACAAGGCAACUGUAGGUGAGCUUGUGGUUGGAUCAUUAAUAAAUUUACAAGAUCUAAGCUUUAACUAAACAUUAAAGUCUUUUAUCUUAACAACUCUGUGAACUGUUAACUGUCUCUGGUAGGUUAAAAGUACUUCAACUAUUUUAAAAAAUAGUUGAUUUAUGGAGUUUCCACUCUACCUACCGUUUUAAACUUGAACUUUUAUUUUAAAAACUGUCUUGAAUUUAGAAUUUUUGACAACGGAUCUCUUGGCUCUC
Molecule: unclassified non-coding RNA, 265 nt
Filed under: fungal sp.
Lineage: Eukaryota; Fungi
Description: partial internal transcribed spacer region
Source: RNAcentral